AUUGAACGCUGGCGGCAGGCCUAACACAUGCAAGUCGAGCGGAUGAAGGGAGCUUGCUCCUGGAUUCAGCGGCGGACGGGUGAGUAAUGCCUAGGAAUCUGCCUGGUAGUGGGGGAUAACGUCCGGAAACGGGCGCUAAUACCGCAUACGUCCUGAGGGAGAAAGUGGGGGAUCUUCGGACCUCACGCUAUCAGAUGAGCCUAGGUCGGAUUAGCUAGUUGGUGGGGUAAAGGCCUACCAAGGCGACGAUCCGUAACUGGUCUGAGAGGAUGAUCAGUCACACUGGAACUGAGACACGGUCCAGACUCCUACGGGAGGCAGCAGUGGGGAAUAUUGGACAAUGGGCGAAAGCCUGAUCCAGCCAUGCCGCGUGUGUGAAGAAGGUCUUCGGAUUGUAAAGCACUUUAAGUUGGGAGGAAGGACAGUAAGUUAAUACCUUGCUGCUUUGACGUUACCAACAGAAUAAGCACCGGCUAACUUCGUG
Molecule: ribosomal RNA, 484 nt
Filed under: uncultured bacterium
Lineage: Bacteria
Description: partial 16S ribosomal RNA
Rfam family: Bacterial small subunit ribosomal RNA
Source: RNAcentral